CCUACGGAGGCAGCAGCAAGGGAUAUUGCGCAAUGGACGAAAGUCUGACGCAGCGACGCCGCGUGAGGGAUGAAGGCCUUCGGGUCGUAAACCUCUUUUAUUGGUGAGGAGUAAGGACGGUAGCCAGUGAAUAAGCCUCGGCUAACUACGUGCCAGCAGCCGCGGUAAU
RNAcentral lists this ribosomal RNA (169 nucleotides) under uncultured bacterium. Its description in RNAcentral is "partial 16S ribosomal RNA". It matches the Rfam family "Bacterial small subunit ribosomal RNA", at positions 338 to 524 of the family's 1533-position model. The record is from RNAcentral.